Molecule: ribosomal RNA, 1445 nt
Filed under: uncultured marine cyanobacterium
Lineage: Bacteria; Bacillati; Cyanobacteriota
Description: bacterial SSU rRNA
Rfam family: Bacterial small subunit ribosomal RNA
Source: RNAcentral
GAGUUUGAUCCUGGCUCAGGAUGAACGCUGGCGGCGUGCUUAACACAUGCAAGUCGAACGAACCUUCGGGUUAGUGGCGGACGGGUGAGUAACGCGUGAGAAUCUGCCCUCAGGAGGGGGAUAACGGCUGGAAACGGCCGCUAAUACCCCAUAUGCCGCGAGGUGAAAUGAAUUUCGCCUGAGGAUGAGCUCGCGUCUGAUUAGCUAGUUGGUGUAGGUAAUGGCUCACCAAGGCAUCGAUCAGUAGCUGGUCUGAGAGGAUGAUCAGCCACACUGGGACUGAGACACGGCCCAGACUCCUACGGGAGGCAGCAGUGGGGAAUUUUCCGCAAUGGGCGCAAGCCUGACGGAGCAACGCCGCGUGAGGGAUGAAGGCCUCUGGGCUGUAAGCCUCUUUUAUCAAGGAAGAAGAUCUGACGGUACUUGAUGAAUAAGCCACGGCUAAUUCCGUGCCAGCAGCCGCGGUAAUACGGGAGUGGCAAGCGUUAUCCGGAAUUAUUGGGCGUAAAGCGUCCGCAGGCGGCCCUUCAAGUCUGCUGUUAAAACGUGGAGCUUAACUCCAUCAUGGCAGUGGAAACUGUUGGGCUUGAGUGUGGUAGGGGCAGAGGGAAUUCCCGGUGUAGCGGUGAAAUGCGUAGAUAUCGGGAAGAACACCAGUGGCGAAGGCGCUCUGCAGGGCCAUCACUGACGCUCAUGGACGAAAGCCAGGGGAGCGAAAGGGAUUAGAUACCCCUGUAGUCCUGGCCGUAAACGAUGAACACUAGGUGUCGGGGGAAUCGACCCCUUCGGUGUCGUAGCCAACGCGUUAAGUGUUCCGCCUGGGGAGUACGCACGCAAGUGUGAAACUCAAAGGAAUUGACGGGGGCCCGCACAAGCGGUGGAGUAUGUGGUUUAAUUCGAUGCAACGCGAAGAACCUUACCAGGGUUUGACAUCCUGCGAAUCUCUUGGAAACGAGAGAGUGCCUUCGGGAGCGCAGUGACAGGUGGUGCAUGGCUGUCGUCGGCUCGUGUCGUGAGAUGUUGGGUUAAGUCCCGCAACGAGCGAACCCACGUCUUUAGUUGCCAGCAUUUAGUUGGGCACUCUAGAGAGACCGCCGGUGAUAAACCGGAGGAAGGUGUGGAUGACGUCAAGUCAUCAUGCCCCUUACAUCCUGGGCUACACACGUACUACAAUGCUACGGACAAAGGACAGCAAGUUCGCGAGGACAAGCAAAUCCCAUAAACCGUGGCUCAGUUCAGAUCGUAGGCUGCAACUCGCCUACGUGAAGGAGGAAUCGCUAGUAAUCGCAGGUCAGCAUACUGCGGUGAAUACGUUCCCGGGCCUUGUACACACCGCCCGUCACACCAUGGAAGUUGGCCACGCCCGAAGCCGUUACUCCAACCCUUGUGGAGGAGGACGUCGAAGGUGGGGCUGAUGACUGGGGUGAAGUCGUAACAAGGUAACC